UACGUAGGUGGCAAGCGUUGUCCGGAUUUACUGGGCGUAAAGCGUGCGUAGACGGUAGCGUAAGUCGGGUGUGAAAGCCCCGGGCUCAACCUGGGAAUUGCAUUCGAGACUGCUCUGCUAGGGUGCGGAAGAGGGAAGCGGAAUUUCCGGUGUAGCGGUGAAAUGCGUAGAUAUCGGAAGGAACACCAGUGGCGAAAGCGGCUUCCUGGUCCAGCACCGACGUUCAGGCACGAAAGCGUGGGGAGCAAACAGG
This 253-nucleotide ribosomal RNA is filed under the name uncultured bacterium. Its description in RNAcentral is "partial 16S ribosomal RNA". It matches the Rfam family "Bacterial small subunit ribosomal RNA", at positions 524 to 776 of the family's 1533-position model. The record is from RNAcentral.